UACGAAGGGGGCUAGCGUUGUUCGGAAUUACUGGGCGUAAAGCGUGCGCAGGCGGCUUCUCAAGUCAGGGGUGAAAGCCCAGAGCUUAACUCCGGAAUUGCCUUUGAGACUGAGAGGCUUGAGUACGGGAGAGGUGAGUGGAAUUCCCAGUGUAGAGGUGAAAUUCGUAGAUAUUGGGAAGAACACCGGUGGCGAAGGCGGCUCACUGGCCCGUAACUGACGCUCAUGCACGACAGCGUGGGGAUCAAACAGG
RNAcentral lists this ribosomal RNA (253 nucleotides) under uncultured bacterium. RNAcentral describes it as "partial 16S ribosomal RNA". It matches the Rfam family "Bacterial small subunit ribosomal RNA", at positions 524 to 776 of the family's 1533-position model. The record is from RNAcentral.